Molecule: long non-coding RNA, 2903 nt
Filed under: Cicer arietinum (chickpea)
Lineage: Eukaryota; Viridiplantae; Streptophyta; Magnoliopsida; Fabales; Fabaceae
Description: long non-coding RNA (CARI_LNC002380)
Source: RNAcentral
AUAGAAUUUAAUGCUUUCAGUUGUGCCAAAUCCCAUUGACUGCUCCUUUUAUAUUUCUCAACUUACCCUAUUUUUCAAAAAGCCACUUUUCACAAAGCCACUGUUUCAGGUUUUCUAUCAAAAAAAAAAUAAAAAAAAUGUAAGUAUUUUGGAAUCAAAUCAUCAUAGUCAGAGAGAAAGUUUUUUUCUUUCAUUUAUUCUGAAAUCAUCACUGUUGAAAGAUCUUUUUUUUUCCUUCAUAAUCAAAGACCCAUUUUUGGAUUAUUAGUGGGGACAGAAAAGAUGAUAUAAAGUAACCAUUUUUGAGUUGGUAUAAGGCUUUUAAUGUAUAUAUAUAGUAUAGUACAAUUUUACAGCAAAAAAUAUGCAGUGUAAUAUUGUACUAUAGUGUUAUUUAUUUAUUUAAUUAUUUUGGUUUGAAAUAAAUAAAGGAGGAAACUUUUUUGAUUAUGUGAAAUGGGAAGAAAAAAAACUGAAAUGGGUAUUUGAAAUACUACUCAAUGAGUUGUUUGAACAAACUCAUCACGGGUUGUUUUUUUCUCAGUGGGUAUCUUUCAUAUGUAAAAAUAGUACACAUUGCUCCAGAAAGUGUUGCAAUUGUUUUAGGAUAAUAAUAAUAAUAAUACAAGAGAGUGAAUUGGAAGCAUUUGUCUCUGCUUUUUGUAGUUUUGGAGAGAUUGUUAUUGGGUCAGUGGAGAAUGAAUUCGGCGCUCUUUCUCUUUUUUGAAUUUAUUUAAGAUUCAUUUUACAAUAAAGAACCUGUUUUUGAGGUCUUGAUGUUGAUUUUUCAUUUUUAGCUUAUGAUUUAUUGUUAUUAUAACUUUUUUCUUAGGAUUUUUACCUUUAUGUUUUGUCUCUAAUUCUUGUCUUUUUAUUAUGGGGUGUUUAGAUUUUGAAGUUUUUUUGCAAGUAUUUUCAAAGGGUUUAUUUAUUUAUUUAUUUAUUGAGUUUCUCUCUGCUAACUUUCUGUGACAUCUUUUUGUCUUAUAAUGCAGUUUUUCACGAGGUAUUGUCAGAAGUUUUUAUAUAUUUUUCAAAAAAAGUUCCCAUCUUUAUCCAAAUUUCACCACUGUUUCUUUAUUAAUAAUUCUCUACUAGUGAUUAUGCUAUAGAUUCUUUUACAUGUUCUCUCUCUUUUUUUGAAAUUUUACCACAAUUCCCUCGUAUUGCGUUUAUACAACAUUUGGUUUCACUUGGUUGUUACACUUGUUCACUCUCUUUCAUUCUAACACACACAUUUUUAGUUAUUUGACAUUGUUUUUUCUCAUUCACUCACACUUCAGAUUUUGACUCAAAAAGAAGUACUUAUGGGAAAAGCUAGCAGGUGGUUGAAGAGUUUGUUAGGGAAGAAGAAGGAGAAGGACCACAAUGACAAUUCAGGUUCAUUGACACCUGACAAGAAGGAGAAGAAAAGGUGGAGUUUUGCUAAGCAAGGGAAGGAAGUGAUGGUGGUUGAAUCACCUAAUAUUACUCCAACUUCAACUCAUGAUACUUCUUGGCUUAGAUCCUAUGUUUCUGAUUCGGAGAAUCAACAAAACAAACAUGCAAUUGCUGUUGCAGCUGCCACAGCCGCCGCUGCAGAUGCUGCCGUGGCGGCUGCACAGGCUGCUGUUGCAGUUGUGAGACUCACAAGUCAAGGUAGAGGUACAUUGUUCAGUGGAAGUAGGGAGAAAUGGGCUGCUGUAAAGAUCCAAACUUUCUUUAGAGGCUAUUUGGUAUGUUUGUUCCUUUUGACUUUUUUGUUUUUGUUAUGGUUCAAAUUUUAUGUUAGUGUUUAUUUUUCUCAUUUUCUCAGUUUUCGCAACUAGUAUUGAUUUGAUAAAAAUUGUAUUUUUUUUAUGAUUCUGUGUUGGGACAAAGAUAUUUUGGUUUGGUAUGAGUUUAAGUGUUUUGCUUGAUUCCUACUCCUUUGUCUGGUCUCAAAAGGUGAGAAAGUGUUUUUUUUUUUUUUUUUUUAAGAUUCUUAAUGAAACAGUGUCCCUCUAUUCUGUUUUAGAUCCUUGAAACAAGUGGCAUAUACUUUCCCUUUUCUCAACACAAUCUCUUUGACUUGUCUUGUUUUUUCAAAUCCUCAUUUUCUGUUAAAGCUAUUGGAUUAGAUUCUCUUUGAACCAUCUCCUAGAAUUUUUAACAUAGUUUCAAUUUUACAAGCAUUUGAGUAAGUCUUAAUUUCUUGUUUAGGCUUUAUGUUCUAGUUUUUUGUUGUGCUUUUGGUAUUUGACUCAAACUUUGUUGUUGUUUGAUUAAUUUUCAGGCACGGAAGGCUCUUAGAGCAUUGAAAGGAUUGGUUAAGAUACAAGCUCUUGUUAGAGGCUAUCUAGUUAGAAAAAGAGCUGCUGCAACUCUUCACAGUAUGCAAGCUCUAAUAAGAGCUCAAACUUCUGUUAGAACACAGCGAGCUCGUCGAUCCAUGAGCAAAGAAAAUAGAUUUCUACCAGAAGUUCUUGCAAGAAAAUCUUUGGUAAGAAAAAAUUUAUUUUCUUCUUCUUCUUAGUUAAUUUAUUUAUCAUCUAUUGAUGCACUCUGAGUCUGUGACUAUUUACACACAUACUAUAAAAACACAAAUACAAGAUUUUUAUUGAAAGUCAGUGUAAAAUAAUAGUGUUUUAUUGUGUUUUGUUUUUUAUUGUUUAGGAACGAUUUGAUGAAACAAGGAGUGAAUUCCACAGCAAAAGGGUACCUACAUUAUAUGAAACAUCAAUGAAUGGAUUUGAUGAUCAAAGUCCAAAAAUUGUUGAAAUUGAUACAUACAAAACCAGAUCAAAGUCAAGGCGAUUUACAUCAACAAUGUCUGAAUGUGGAGAAGACUUACCACAUUGUCAUGGAAUCUCAUCUCCUCUUCCUUGUUCGAUCCCCGGUCGAGUCUCGGUCCCCGAUCAUUGCAGACAUGUUCAACAAGACUU